GAAAGAAGCAAAAAUUGGCGAAAAGUGACAAAAUCCAUUUAUUUGGCGGCCAAUUACAGUGAAUUGGGCGAUUGUGGGCCAUUUUAAUUCUUGGGGGUCAUUUUAAAUGCUUCUCCAAACUUCAGGGACCAAAGCUGAAAAUUUUCCUAGGUUUUACUAUUAAAAACCUUGCAGAUCAGUUUUAAAGGAGAAGAACGAGAACUGCCGGCAGAAAAAGAAAAGAAAGAAAAGUGGAGAGAAAGGAAAAAUCUGAUUUUGAGAAAUAAAAUUGCUGGCUGAAUUUCAUUGAAGGAAGGCUAGAGGUUAUUGGUUAAUUAUAUAUUCAUGGCAGCCAAUUGAAGGAAAAAAGGUGGAGAAUCUUUUGGAGACAAAACCAUUAAUGAGGCAGCCAACUUGGAGGAAUUUCUGGAAGAAAAUAGCAACGUGAAACUGGACUGCAAAGGGCUGCUAAAGUAAUACAAUUGCUGGGAGAAAAGAAACAUUUUGGAAUUUCACUAUUUUGGAGUCAACAAAACCGGCAGUGGGGCAGAAUUUUAUAUAUUUUAUACGCAUCAAAAGGCAGCCAACUGGGGAGAAAUUGAUAGAGUUAUACACGCCAUUGAAGUUAUUCACGUUCCAUAAAUUCUUGGUGAUGUCCUUCCACUUUUCUUUAUCUAAUUUUAAAAAUAUGCUAGGCUAAAUAUUUUCAUGUAUUGGAUGAUGACAAAAUUGUUUAAUUUUUAGUUUUAAUUCGAGACCUAUGUUUUUAUGUUAAUUAUUGCGUUGUGAUUCCAAUAAUAUGCUUAAUUAGAUUGUUCUAAUGUUUGCGCACCAUUAGGAUGAUAAGUUGCUUUUUCGUAGUGUUGGAAAACUCACGAUAAGUAUAACACUAUUAUUGGGACACAUGAACAAUAAAUAUUAGGAAUAGUAUUUGUGGCGUGUGCUAUCUUAUAUGAUAAUUCUAAUUGUCAAUGCAUGUUUGCCAUAUGAAUUCGACUUAGGAAUAGGAUCGUCUCGUGGUAAUCAUAGGUUUAUUAUAUCUUGGGAAAGAAUAAUAAAUAAAUAAAUAAAUAAAUAAACGGAAUUAUCGAUCGUCGCAAUUGCAUAAAUUGAGAUAAUUAUUAUUGGUUGAGAAUUAGAACUAAGAAUUAAUCAAUGGCGUCGGAAAUCCAAUACGUUUACACAUUUGAAUUUUUAAACCAAAUUUAAUUAUUUUCACAAGUUUUAGUUAUAAAAACUAUUUAGCUAUUCCCUCGAUCGUUUUUUCUGUUACAAAUACGAAUUAACUAUAUCAAAUAUACUAAAAUUGAUCCUUAUUCCCUGUGGGACGAUAACUCUCUCAUCACGAUUAUUACUUGUACAACGAACCCGUACGCUUGCGGGAAUCUGACGAACAUCUAGUACCCAGCCAUUGGAUAUAAGUCAUUUUCAACCGCACCUCGAAGUAAAAUUUUGCCUGUAAGGUUCUUCUUCAUGAUAAAAUCACUAGUAGUCAGUAUAAAGUAACAAUUAUUAUCUAAACAAAAUUGAUUAAUAGAAAUAAGAUUUGUGGCUGCUUGUGGACAAUGAAGAAUUUUGUUUAGAUGAAAUUUGAAGUGACCUAGUCUAAAGGAUGAGGAACCAUUAUGUAGAACUAGCAAACUCGAACCAUUGUCGAUUGUCACAGAUUCCGCUUCACGAAAGGGCUACAAAUUGGUAAGAUUAGCUGCAUCUGAUUUUAUAUGUGCAUUGGCACCACUGUCCAUAUACCAAACUUGAUGAUCAUAUGUGGCAUUGCUCUCAGUAACCAUAGCUGCCAGAUCCUGAGGACGAUAUCUGCCUUGAUAGGAAUAAUCAAAACGGUGAUAACAAUCAAUUGCAGUAUGCCCAGAUUUACCACAAAUUUGACAGACAGUACUGUUUGUUUUGAAUUCGCUAAGUAAUGGGUCUAGCAUGUUGCUGAGAUCGAGGGUUGGAGGAGCCUGCUUGCUGCAUCUUUGCUGGAGAAAGUGGUGGUUUCAACUUCUUUAUAUAAGCUGGCAUCUUUAGCUUAUUUGCAGCAAAGGCAAAGUGACCACUGUCCGAAUUUGGAGCAGACAGAUUUAUGUCCAGGAGGUUUUCAUAGCCCAAAAGUUCUACUUGAAAGUCUUCGAGCGUGAAGUCAUUAUCACGUGAAGAAAAAUUAGAAGAUGUGAUAAAUGGCAUGUAGGAGGUUUGUAGACCUCCAAGAAAAAUAUUGAUCGGGUCCUGUUCAUCGACCGGCUCGCCAGCUGUUGCCAGAUGGUCUGCAAUAUUUUUUGGCAUUGUCAAGAUACUCUCAAAGCAGGUUUUAUUACCUUGAGUGAACAUUUGAAGUUGACGUUUGAGAUGUGAAACGCGGGAACGUGCACUUGUUCGGAUGUUUUCAAUCCAUAUAUGGUGGAGACAAGUCUUUCAGAAAGAGAAGCAAGUAUCCAUCCAAGGACACAGGCAUCUUUCUUCUGCCAAACAAAAUAGGCAGAAUUUAAUGAACCAGUGGGGAGAUCUUUGGGAAGACAGACUUCAGUACCAUCUAUGAAGCCAACCAUAUCGUAACCUCUAAGCAGAUUAAGAGACCGUAUUUUUCAUGCCAGAUAAUUGUGGGAACCUUCAAGUUUGACAGAGAUGGUGGUGGCAGAUGGGGGAAAGAAAGGUGCUAGAGUAGUGUAGUUGGUGUUGUUGGUGGCCAUUUGGAUUAUGCGGAAGCUUAAGGAAGGAUCGUUUAAAAAAUAGUGUAAGUUUUUAGAAUGUUAGGCUGAUACCAUGUAAAGAAUUAUUUACUGAACAUGGACAGAUAAAUGCAGAGAAUUUUUGGCUUGGCUUUCUUACUUAGCUUUGAAUAUUUGUACAUUUUAACUAUAAUACACGAUUGUAUAGGGGAAAGAUAAGAUAUCUCUCUAGCUGGAGAUACUUGAAACAGAUGGGACUCUUAAUGCACUACCAGAAUGGAAUCUUGUUCCCUGAUUUUCUGCCAAAGUAUCUGACUGUCUAACACUUUACAAGCUUUAGAUCGCUGCUUAUCUCAACUUUGCUUGUCUGCUUAGCAGUUGUUUGUAUACACGGUGCACUCCUUGUUUCCGAAGAUUUGUUCCUGAACAUAAGUUGGAGAAAAGCCCAAGCAGCUUGCUUUACGAGACGUUGUGGAUGCAGAUAUCGAAUCCUUUAUUGCAACUAGGGAUAAAAAGUCUUUUGGUGAAGUAUAGCCGUGGGAGGCUGGCUUGAUUGAAAACAACUCGAAAUCAUCGGAGGGAAAUGAUGAUGAGGCAGAGACGGAGUUCGUGUUUGUGGUGGAGGAGGCAAAGGCGAAGUUGUGGUGGAGAAGGGUAAGAUUGGAGGGGAUCACCUCAACUGAGGUUGAGAUGGA
RNAcentral lists this long non-coding RNA (3340 nucleotides) under Olea europaea subsp. europaea. Lineage: Eukaryota; Viridiplantae; Streptophyta; Magnoliopsida; Lamiales; Oleaceae. The record is from RNAcentral.